Long non-coding RNA from Ictalurus punctatus (channel catfish), 1514 nucleotides. The record is from Ensembl. Lineage: Eukaryota; Metazoa; Chordata; Actinopteri; Siluriformes; Ictaluridae.
GGCGUAGAGCGCAGGUCUCUGUUGGGCUUUCAGCAUUUCACAUUCAGCAGAAAGUCUCUUCUUCCUGCAGAGUGAUGACGAACUGAUCUCGUUCUGAUUGUGAACUGAUUGUAGUGAAGAGACGAGCAGCUGAGUGGCAGAGACUUCGCACCUGGCCGUGUCCUAUAACGUGUCAUCUGUACAGCCUGUCUGACUCAGAUCAGCUCCGUGUUCAGUAGCUCCGUGUUCAGUAGCUCAGUGUUUAAUAGCUCAGUGUUUAAUAGCUGUGUUCAGUAGCUCAGUGUUUAAUAGCUCAGUGUUUAAUAGCUGUGUUCAGUAGCUCAGUGUUUAAUAGCUCAGUGUUUAAUAGCUGUGUUCAGUAGCUCAGUGUUUAAUAGCCGUGUUCAGUAGCUCAGUGUUUAAUAGCUGUGUUCAGUAGCUCAGUGUUUAAUAGCUCAGUGUUUAAUAGCUGUGUUCAGUAGCUCAGUGUUUAAUAGCUGUGUUCAGUAGCUCAGUGUUUAAUAGCUGUGUUCAGUAGCUCAGUGUUUAAUAGCUGUGUUCAGUAGCUCAGUGUUUAAUAGCUGUGUUCAGUAGCUCAGUGUUCAGUAGCUCAGUGUUUAAUAGCCGUGUUCAGUAGCUCAGUGUUCAGUAGCUCAGUUGUUAAUAGCUGUGUUCAGUAGCUCAGUGUUUAAUAGCUGUGUUCAGUAGCUCAGUGUUUAAUAGCUGUGUUCAGUAGCUCAGUGUUUAAUAGCCGUGUUCAGUAGCUCAGUGUUCAGUAGCUCAGUGUUCAGUAGCUCAGUGUUUAAUAGCCGUGUUCAGUAGCUCAGUGUUCAGUAGCUCAGUGUUUAAUAGCCGUGUUCAGUAGCUCAGUGUUUAAUAGCUCAGUGUUUAAUAGCCGUGUUCAGUAGCUCAGUGUUUAAUAGCUCAGUGUUUAAUAGCCGUGUUCAGUAGCUCAGUGUUCAGUAGCUCAGUGUUUAAUAGCCGUGUUCAGUAGCUCAGUGUUCAGUAGCUCAGUGUUUAAUAGCCGUGUUCAGUAGCUCAGUGUUUAAUAGCUGUGUUCAGUAGCUCAGUGUUCAGUAGCUCAGUGUUUAAUAGCUGUGUUCAGUAGCUCAGUGUUUAAUAGCCGUGUUCAGUAGCUCAGUGUUCAGUAGCUCAGUGUUUAAUAGCUCAGUGUUUAAUAGCUGUGUUCAGUAGCUCAGUGUUUAAUAGCUGUGUUCAGUAGCUCAGUGUUUAAUAGCUGUGUUCAGUAGCUCAGUGUUCAGUAGCUCAGUGUUUAAUAGCCGUGUUCAGUAGCUCAGUGUUCAGUAGCUCAGUGUUUAAUAGCUGUGUUCAGUCGCUCAGUGUUCAGUAGCUCAGUGUUUAAUAGCUGUGUUCAGUCGCUCAGUGUUCAGUAGCUCAGUGUUUAAUAGCUGUGUUCAGUAGCUUGCCGCUUGUUGCAUAAAUCCAUUUUCAACACACUCGUCUCAUUGACAUGUAUGUCUAUUUUACAAUAUUAUUAUUAUAUCAUUUUAUUUAAUCAUCAUCAUCAUCAUUAU